UAUCUCGGUCAGCAUUUCGU
RNAcentral lists this unclassified non-coding RNA (20 nucleotides) under Chlamydomonas reinhardtii. RNAcentral's name for it is "small RNA Cre_2376". The record is from RNAcentral. Lineage: Eukaryota; Viridiplantae; Chlorophyta; Chlorophyceae; Chlamydomonadales; Chlamydomonadaceae.